GAUGAACGCUGGCGGCGUGCCUAAUACAUGCAAGUCGAGCGAACAGACGAGGAGCUUGCUCCUCUGACGUUAGCGGCGGACGGGUGAGUAACACGUGGAUAACCUACCUAUAAGACUGGGAUAACUUCGGGAAACCGGAGCUAAUACCGGAUAAUAUAUUGAACCGCAUGGUUCAAUAGUGAAAGACGGUUUUGCUGUCACUUAUAGAUGGAUCCGCGCCGCAUUAGCUAGUUGGUAGGUAACGGCUUACCAAGGCAACGAUGCGUAGCCGACCUGAGAGGGUGAUCGGCCACACUGGAACUGAGACACGGUCCAGACUCCUACGGGAGGCAGCAGUAGGGAAUCUUCCGCAAUGGGCGAAGGCCUGACGGAGCAACGCCGCGUGAGUGAUGAAGGUCUUCGGAUCGUAAAACUCUGUUAUUAGGGAAGAACAAAUGUGUAAGUAACUAUGCACGUCUUGACGGUACCUAAUCAGAAAGCCACGGCUAACUACGUG
Molecule: ribosomal RNA, 496 nt
Filed under: uncultured bacterium
Lineage: Bacteria
Description: partial 16S ribosomal RNA
Rfam family: Bacterial small subunit ribosomal RNA
Source: RNAcentral